Molecule: ribosomal RNA, 859 nt
Filed under: uncultured Chloroflexota bacterium
Lineage: Bacteria; Bacillati; Chloroflexota
Description: bacterial SSU rRNA
Rfam family: Bacterial small subunit ribosomal RNA
Source: RNAcentral
UGGUUAUGACCGGGUGUCUAUGCAUGCAGUCGACGGAGUCCCGCAAGGGACCCCGUGGCAAACGGCUGAUUAACGCGUAAGUGACCUGCCUUCCGGUGGGGGACAACUACCCGAAAGGGUAGCUAAUACCGCAUUCGAUCGACCGGGUAGACCCGGCCGCUGAAAGCCGCAAGGCGCCGGAAGAGGGGCUUGCGUCCGAUUAGCUAGUUGGUGAGGUAACGGCCCACCAAGGCGAAGAUCGGUAGCUGGUCUGAGAGGAUGGUCAGCCAGACGGGGACUGAGACACGGCCCCGACUCCUACGGGAGGCAGCAGCAAGGAAUAUUGCGCAAUGGGCGAAAGCCUGACGCAGCGACGCCGCGUGGGGGACGAAAGCCUUCGGGUUGUAAACCCCUUUUCACCGGGAAGAGGAAGGACGGUACCGGUGGAAUAAGCCUCGGCUAACUACGUGCCAGCAGCCGCGGUAAUACGUAGGAGGCGAGCGUUAUCCGGAAUUAUUGGGCGUAAAGAGCGCGCGGGCGGCCGGGUAAGUCAGAUGUGAAAUCUCCUGGCUUAACUAGGAGGCGACAUUUGAAACUGCCUGGCUUGAGGGCAGCAGAGGGAGACAGAAUUCCCGGUGUAGUAGUGAAAUACGUAGAUAUCGGGAGGAAUACCUGUGGCGAAGGCGGUCUUCUGGGCUGUUUCUGACGCUGAGGCGCGAAAGCGUGGGGAGCAAACAGGAUUAGAUACCCUGGUAGUCCACGCUGUAAACUUUGAACACUAGGUAUAGGGAGUAUCGACCCUCUCUGUGCCGUAGCUAACGCGAUAAGUGUUCCGCCUGGGGAGUACGGUCGCAAGACUAAAACUCAAAGGAAUUGACGG